UACGUAGGGUGCAAGCGUUGUCCGGAAUUAUUGAGCGUAAAGAGCUUGUAGGCGGUUUGUCGCGUCUGCUGUGAAAUUUCGGGGCUCAACCCCGAACUUGCAGUGGGUACGGGCAGACUAGAGUGUGGUAGGGGAGACUGGAAUUCCUGGUGUAGCGGUGAAAUGCGCAGAUAUCAGGAGGAACACCGAUGGCGAAGGCAGGUCUCUGGGCCAUAACUGACGCUGAGAAGCGAAAGCAUGGGGAGCGAACAGG
Molecule: ribosomal RNA, 253 nt
Filed under: uncultured bacterium
Lineage: Bacteria
Description: partial 16S ribosomal RNA
Rfam family: Bacterial small subunit ribosomal RNA
Source: RNAcentral